Molecule: ribosomal RNA, 253 nt
Filed under: uncultured bacterium
Lineage: Bacteria
Description: partial 16S ribosomal RNA
Rfam family: Bacterial small subunit ribosomal RNA
Source: RNAcentral
UACAGAGGGGGCAAGCGUUGUUCGGGAUUACUGGGCGUAAAGGGCGCGUAGGCGGCCUGUUAAGUCGAACGUGAAAUCCCCGGGCUCAACCCGGGAACUGCGUCCGAAACUGGCAGGCUCGAAUUCGGGAGAGGGAUGCGGAAUUCCAGGUGUAGCGGUGAAAUGCGUAGAUAUCUGGAGGAACACCGGUGGCGAAGGCGGCAUCCUGGACCAACACUGACACUGAGGAGCGAAAGCCAGGGGAGCAAACGGG